CAAGUCGAACGGGAAUCUUCGGAUUCUAGUGGCGGACGGGUGAGUAACGCGUAAGAAUCUAACUUCAGGACGGGGACAACAGUUGGAAACGACUGCUAAUACCCGAUGUGCCGCAAGGUGAAACCUAAUUGGCCUGGAGAAGAGCUUGCGUCUGAUUAGCUAGUUGGUGGGGUAAAGGCCUACCAAGGCGACGAUCAGUAGCUGGUCUGAGAGGAUGAGCAGCCACACUGGGACUGAGACACGGCCCAGACUCCUACGGGAGGCAGCAGUGGGGAAUUUUCCGCAAUGGGCGAAAGCCUGACGGAGCAACGCCGCGUGAGGGAGGAAGGUCUUUGGAUUGUAAACCUCUUUUCUCAAGGAAGAAGUUCUGACGGUACUUGAGGAAUCAGCCUCGGCUAACUCCGUGCCAGCAGCCGCGGUAAUACGGGGGAGGCAAGCGUUAUCCGGAAUUAUUGGGCGUAAAGCGUCCGCAGGUGGUCAGCCAAGUCUGCCGUCAAAUCAGGUUGCUUAACGACCUAAAGGCGGUGGAAACUGGCAGACUAGAGAGCAGUAGGGGUAGCAGGAAUUCCCAGUGUAGCGGUGAAAUGCGUAGAGAUUGGGAAGAACAUCGGUGGCGAAAGCGUGCUACUGGGCUGUAUCUGACACUCAGGGACGAAAGCUAGGGGAGCGAAAGGGAUUAGAUACCCCUGUAGUCCUAGCCGUAAACGAUGGAUACUAGGCGUGGCUUGUAUCGACCCGAGUCGUGCCGAAGCUAACGCGUUAAGUAUCCCGCCUGGGGAGUACGCACGCAAGUGUGAACUCAAAGGAAUUGACGG
RNAcentral lists this ribosomal RNA (815 nucleotides) under uncultured bacterium. RNAcentral describes it as "bacterial SSU rRNA". It matches the Rfam family "Bacterial small subunit ribosomal RNA", at positions 58 to 916 of the family's 1533-position model. The record is from RNAcentral.